RNAcentral lists this ribosomal RNA (900 nucleotides) under uncultured bacterium. Its description in RNAcentral is "bacterial SSU rRNA". It matches the Rfam family "Bacterial small subunit ribosomal RNA", at positions 1 to 912 of the family's 1533-position model. The record is from RNAcentral.
UAGAGUUUGAUCCUGGCUCAGAAUCAACGCUGGCGGCGUGCCUAACACAUGCAAGUCGAACGAGAAAGCGGGGGCAACUCCGUGAGUAAAGUGGCAGACGGGUGAGUAACACGUGAACAACCUACCCUCGAGUGGGGAAUAACACCGCGAAAGCGGUGCUAAUACCGCAUAACAUUCCCGGAACGCAUGUUCUGGGAAUCAAGGGCGCAAGUCGCUUGAGGAGGGGUUCGCGCCUGAUUAGCUAGUUGGUGAGGUAACGGCCCACCAAGGCAAUGAUCAGUAGCCGGCCUGAGAGGGCGAACGGCCACACUGGAACUGAGACACGGUCCAGACUCCUACGGGAGGCAGCAGUGGGGAAUUUUGCGCAAUGGGCGAAAGCCUGACGCAGCAACGCCGCGUGGAGGAUGAAGGCCUUCGGGUCGUAAACUCCUGUCAGCAGGGACGAAUGCUUCGCAAGAAGUUUGACUGUACCUGUUGAGGAAGCCACGGCUAACUCCGUGCCAGCAGCCGCGGUAAUACGGGGGUGGCAAGCGUUGUUCGGAAUUACUGGGCGUAAAGGGCGCGUAGGCGGCAUUACAAGUCAGAUGUGAAAUCCCUGGGCUUAACUCAGGAAUUGCAUCUGAAACUGUUUUGCUUGAGUCCUGGAGGGGGUAGUGGAAUUCCCAGUGUAGCGGUGAAAUGCGUAGAUAUUGGGAGGAACACCUGCGGCGAAGGCGGCUACCUGGACAGUGACUGACGCUGAGGCGCGAAAGCUAGGGGAGCGAACGGGAUUAGAUACCCCGGUAGUCCUAGCCGUAAACGAUGGGCACUUGGUGUUGGGGGUAUUGAGUCCCCCGGUGCCGGAGUUACACGUUAAGUGCCCGCCUGGGGAGUACGUCGCAGACUGAAACUCAAGGAUUG